AAGAAAACAGUUCAGCACUAAGUCACUUUAUAUAUACUAUAAAUGUGAGAUGCAGUGUAUGGAAUGUUCAAUACUAAUAUGAGAAAUUAAUGAUUUAAGUCCUUCUUAAAUGAGGCCAUUUACCCAGAGAGGGUGCUAGGCCCGUAUAACAUUAAUGAUUAUUAGUGAACAUUUCCAAAGAGUCGUGUUGCUUGAUAGUGCAGCACUAAGUGGGUGGUAAACUCCAUCUAAAACUAAAUAUAACCAUGAGACCGAUAGUAAACAAGUACCGUGAGGGAAAGUUGAAAAGAACUCUGAAUAGAGAGUUAAAUAGUACGUGAAACUGCUUAGAGGUUAAGCCCGAUGAACCUGAAUAUCCGUUAUGAGAAAUUCAUCAUUAUGAUUAUUGUACAAUAAUAUGUAUUAUAAUAAUAGUGUGCAUUUUUCUCAUAUAAGGACAUUGUAAUCUAUUAAUGAGUAAAAUUAUAUAUUUUAUCAUAAGAUUAAAUGGAAUUAAAGUUUAAAUAUAUAUUAAAAUGUACAUUGUACAAAUUAUAUUGUUUAAUUUCCAUUAAUUGGAUAAAUUAUUGAUAGAUUGUGAUAUAUUAGUGCUUAAAUAUAUUUAUAUUUUAUAGUGGAGUUUUUUAUAAAAGAAUAUUUUUAAAAUUCCCAUUAUACGCACUUUAAUAUGAUUUACAAUGCGAAAGAUUCAGGAUACCUUCGGGACCCGUCUUGAAACACGGACCAAGGAGUCUAACAUAUAUGCAAGUUAUUAGGAUUAAUUAUAAAAACCUAAUGGCGUAAUUAACAUAACGAAUUAUAAUUUUUAUAAUGGGAUUAAUUUUUAGUAUUAUUUUUUUAUAUUGAAAGUAAACUAUUAAUUCAAUCCCGGGGCGUUCUAUACAGUUAUGUAUAAUAAUAUUUAUAUUAUUUAUACCUCUAACUAGAACGUACCUUGAGCAUAUAUGCUGUGACCCGAAAGAUGGUGAACUAUACUUGAUCAGGUUGAAGUCAGGGGAAACCCUGAUGGAAGACCGAAACAGUUCUGACGUGCAAAUCGAUUGUCAGAAUUGAGUAUAGGGGCGAAAGACUAAUCGAACCAUCUAGUAGCUGGUUCCCUCCGAAGUUUCCCGCAGGAUAGCUGGUGCAUUUAAUAAUUAUGAAAAUAAUCUUAUCUGGUAAAGCGAAUGAUUAGAGGCCUUAGGGUCGAAACGAUUUUAACCUAUUCUCAAACUUUAAAUGGGUAAGAACUACACCUUUCUUGAUAUGAAGGUCGUAGUUAUAAUAUGAUAUAAUGUGCCCAGUGGGCCACUUUUGGUAAGCAGAACUGGCGCUGUGGGAUGAACCAAACGUAAUGUUACGGUGCCCAAAUUAAUAACUCAUGCAGAUACCAUGAAAGGCGUUGGUUGCUUAAAACAGCAGGACGGUGGACAUGGAAGUCGUAAACCGCUAAGGAGUGUGUAACAACUCACCUGCCGAAGCAACUAGCCCUUAAAAUGGAUGGCGCUUAAGUUAUAUACCUAUACAUUACCGCUAAAGUGAAUGGUUUAUAUAUAAUUUCGGUUAUAUGAUAAGCUUUGAAACUUUAGUGAGUAGGAGGGUACGAUGGUGUGCAUAGAAGUGUUUGGCGUAAGCCUGCAUGGAGCCGCCAUCGGUACAGAUCUUGGUGGUAGUAGCAAAUAAUCGAAUGAGACCUUGGAGGACUGAAGUGGAGAAGGGUUUCGUGUGAACAGUGGUUGAUCACGAGUUAGUCGGUCCUAAGUUCAAGGCGAAAGCUGAAAAUUUUCAAGUUGUUAAAAUAUAUUUUUUUUAUUAUAAACAUAUAUAUAUGUAUAAUGAAACACUUGAAAAUUAAUUGAACGAAAGGGAAUACGGUUCCAAUUCCGUAACCUGUUGAGUAUCCGUUUGUUUAUUAAAUGUGGGCCUUAGUGCUCAUCCUGGUAACAGGAACGACCAUAAAGAAGCCGUCGAGAGAUAUCGGAAGAGUUUUCUUUUCUGUUUUAUAUUCGUACUACCAUGGAAGUCUUUCGAAGAGAGAUAUGGUAGAUGGAAUAGAAGAGCAUGACAUUUACUGUUGUGUCGAUAUUUUCUCCUCGGACCUUGAAAAUUUAUGGUGGGGUCACGCAAACUUCUCAACAGGCCGUACCAAUAUCCGCAGCUGGUCUCCAAGGUGAAGAGUCUCUAGUC
Molecule: ribosomal RNA, 2166 nt
Filed under: Lipoptena mazamae
Lineage: Eukaryota; Metazoa; Arthropoda; Insecta; Diptera; Hippoboscidae
Description: eukaryotic LSU rRNA
Rfam family: Eukaryotic large subunit ribosomal RNA
Source: RNAcentral